GCCCAGACUCCUACGGGAGGCAGCAGUGAGGAAUAUUGGUCAAUGGCCGUAAGGCUGAACCAGCCAAGUCGCGUGAGGGAAGACUGUCCUAUGGGUUGUAAACCUCUUUUAUGCGGGGAUAAAGGUGUCCACGUGUGGAUGUUUGCAGGUACCGCAUGAAUAAGGACCGGCUAAUUCCGUGCCAGCAGCCGCGGUAAUACGGAAGGUCCGGGCGUUAUCCGGAUUUAUUGGGUUUAAAGGGAGCGUAGGCCGGUCUUUAAGCGUGCCGUGAAAUUUUGUGGCUCAACCAUGAGGGUGCGGCGCGAACUGGAGACCUUGAGUGCGCGGAAGGCAGGCGGAAUUCGUGGUGUAGCGGUGAAAUGCUUAGAUAUCACGCAGAACCCCGAUUGCGAAGGCAGCAUGCCGGCUUCCGACUGACGCUGAAGCACGAAAGCGUGGGGAUCGAACAGGAUUAGAUACCCCUGUA
RNAcentral lists this ribosomal RNA (466 nucleotides) under uncultured bacterium. RNAcentral's name for it is "bacterial SSU rRNA". It matches the Rfam family "Bacterial small subunit ribosomal RNA", at positions 329 to 792 of the family's 1533-position model. The record is from RNAcentral.